UGAGAAGAAGAGCUGCAGGCGACAGGCUGAACACCUCCAACUCCACAGAGUACGUGUUCCUCUCUUCAUACUCUCCGGUCUGCGUCGUGUACACCGUCAGCCUGAACCAGAACUGUCUGCUGGCAUUCCUGUCGCGCCAUCACAGAAAAAGUUAGUAUCAAGUGUUAACAUUUAGAUUUGAAACAUUUCGCAGAGGCUCCCACUGUGCUAUUUCUACAUCCAGAUUGUUCGGCAAGACCUGCAGAUGUCUGCCAACGUUUGGAUGGAUUACCAUGAAGUCCAGGCAUUCCCGCCCCCAUCAGGAUUCAUUUGAAUGCCGUUUCAUGUAGCGUCAUCAUCAGCGUCAUCAUCAGCCAUCCAAGGAAACAUGAAGUAUCACAAGACUAAAAAGUGCUUUGAGCUCUGAUGCGGACUCAGCAAACAUCUAAACUUUGUGUUCAUUGUCUGCUAACAGAAAUGUAAAACCUCAUUCACCAAUUCCCGGGCAGCAAAAUGUGUUUGCAUGGCUAACUAUUUGUGCCAGUUUGAUAGUAUUGUUCAGUGUCAUACUGAAAUGAAAGCCACUUUUCUCUUUG
Molecule: long non-coding RNA, 575 nt
Organism: Chelmon rostratus (copperband butterflyfish)
Lineage: Eukaryota; Metazoa; Chordata; Actinopteri; Chaetodontiformes; Chaetodontidae
Exons: 2
Source: RefSeq, a predicted model, not a curated record